Molecule: long non-coding RNA, 202 nt
Filed under: Capsella rubella
Lineage: Eukaryota; Viridiplantae; Streptophyta; Magnoliopsida; Brassicales; Brassicaceae
Description: long non-coding RNA (CRUB_LNC002230)
Source: RNAcentral
AGCUUGAUUUUCUUAUAACCAUAAAAUAUUAUUAUACAUAUGUAUUACAUUUAAAAAUAUAAAAAACAAUGAAGACAUAAAAAAUACAUAAAAACAAAAAAUAAAUAAAAUUGAAAACAAAAGUUUAAACUAAAUAAUUAAUCAAACUCUUACAAUGAUAUUUUAAAUGAGUUUUCACCCCAUGCAAGAACUUAAAAAAAAA